CUGGAUGUUGUGGGUUUCUCUAAGUGUUGCUGUUUUAGCCGUUGGUUCUCCUGGAGGAGCUCGUCAUGUAGGCUUCCCCAGUGUGAGUUCGACCAUUGUCAUCGGAGGAGCUCGGGACCUUGUUGGGCAGAAUUAUUUUUGCUGACUGGAGCAAUUUUAAUUGCAUGGGACCAUGCGGCUGUGUGGGCGCGGCCUCCCCAGGAAGCUGUGCUAAUCGCUGGACCCCAAGGUGCGCGGGGGCCGGGAGGGACCCAGGCUGGACCUCAGGCUUGCUGCUGACCAAACAUUUGUGAGCCUUCCUUGGUCCUUUUUAUCCGAACGCUUCUGAUUGGAAAGUGGGAGUGCCGGGUGCUGUGUCCGCUUCUGUCUAAGAAACACUGGCUGGGGAGAGGAAAGCAUAAGAGCUGCUUCAGGAGCAGGGCAGCAUCGCUCCUGGAGAAAUAUGUGCCUUUGGUGGCAUGGCCUGCAAUGGGGUGUGCAUGCUACCAAGCGAAGGUCGCUGGUCCUGGAGAAGCCACCAAGGCGGGGCUCCAUGUUGGGUCCAGGAUCAUCCUGGGGACGAGAAGGUCUCUUCUGAUUCCAGAUGAAUUUUAGGAGUGAUUUCUCUAGGUCUAUGAGAUUCCCGGGUCCUCCUGUGUCCUCUCCAUCUGUGCCUUCUCGGUGACUGCAGUGGCCCGCCUGGUCCUGUGUCUCAGUCUCGUCCUAGCCGGAAGGUGGCCCCAGGCUCUCGUCCCUGGUCCCCACUGGUCUCCUCCUCUGGGAGCUGGGACCUUGCCUGGUGCCCGAGUCUCUCCCAGCGCUCUGCUCUUCAGAUGUCCUGGGGAUGCGCCCGUCCUCACCUGAGCCAGGUUGUCUGAAGUUUCUCUGGUGAAACCAGAGAGUCUGGCCGUGGGUGCCCCUGCCCUGCCUAGGGGCGGGUAGGGGCUGAGCCCCAAACUCGAGUUCACAGCUGCUUCUCAGGGGCUCUGCCUCCAGCUUCUAGAAGUUUCUGUGCCUGCUUGGGGGACCCUGCCAGGGCCUCCACGCUCUUUUCCUCUGCGCCCCGGCUCCUGGCCCCAGUCCAGCCCUCACUUCCCCUUUCCAGCCCCUUCUGCGCCCCCCUGAGCUCCUGCACAGCGCCCGAAGCCUGUGAGUCUCACAGCCUACUUCAGGGCUCUAGGUGGGAAGAGUGGUUUCCAACUUUCUAUUGGUUUACUCUAGAACUGUCUCAGAGACAACACUGAAGGCGUUUGGGUAAACAGUGGAAAUCUUUCUUUGGGGAAAUUAACACAGCAAAAUUUGAUUGCAUAGCCUGACACCGUGUGUUGCAGAUGUUAAUAUUCAAUCAGAGGCAGAGCCAUUUUCUUUAAGUGCAUUAAGGCGACUCAUUUGCAGGAGGCUGGUAAUUGUCCCAUUAACUCCGGCCCUUGCCGUCCCCUCCCCGCAGCGGGAGGCCCAAGGGGGCUGCUCUGCGGCACCCUCCAAGAUUGCCGGAUCUGUGCAAAAUCCUGUUGAAGUCCGGGACCUCUACAGAGCUCCCAGAGCCCACAGGGAGGAAGCCCUUACCGGAGAGCCAGGAGUCUCCGUCUCUCAGCCACACUGGGUGUCUUAGAAAAUAUGGCUAAUGCUUGUUGGUUUUUAAUUGUGUCACAAGCUGUGUGUGUGUGUGUGUGUGUGUGUGUGUGUGUG
Molecule: long non-coding RNA, 1668 nt
Organism: Cavia porcellus (domestic guinea pig)
Lineage: Eukaryota; Metazoa; Chordata; Mammalia; Rodentia; Caviidae
Exons: 6
Source: RefSeq, a predicted model, not a curated record